GGGUUGUGAGGUUAAGCGACUAAGCGUACACGGUGGAUGCCCUGGCAGUCAGAGGCGAUGAAGGACGUGCUAAUCUGCGAAAAGCGUCGGUAAGGUGAUAUGAACCGUUAUAACCGGCGAUGUCCGAAUGGGGAAACCCAGUGUGAUUCGUCACACUAUCGUUAACUGAAUACAUAGGUUAACGAGGCGAACCGGGGGAACUGAAACAUCUAAGUACCCCGAGGAAAAGAAAUCAACCGAGAUUCCCCCAGUAGCGGCGAGCGAACGGGGAGCAGCCCAGAGUCUGAAUCAGCUUGUGUGUUAGUGGAACGGUCUGGAAAGUCCGACGGUACAGGGUGAUAGUCCCGUACACCAAAAUGCACAGGUUGUGAACUCGAAGAGUAGGGCGGGACACGUGGUAUCCUGUCUGAAUAUGGGGGGACCAUCCUCCAAGGCUAAAUACUCCUGACUGACCGAUAGUGAACCAGUACCGUGAGGGAAAGGCGAAAAGAACCCCGGCGAGGGGAGUGAAAAAGAACCUGAAACCGUGUACGUACAAGCAGUGGGAGCACCUUCGGGUGUGACUGCGUACCUUUUGUAUAAUGGGUCAGCGACUUAUAUUCUGUAGCAAGGUUAACCGUAUAGGGGAGCCGCAGGGAAACCGAGUCUUAACUGGGCGUUAAGUUGCAGGGUAUAGACCCGAAACCCGGUGAUCUAGCCAUGGGCAGGUUGAAGGUUGGGUAACACUAACUGGAGGACCGAACCGACUAAUGUUGAAAAAUUAGCGGAUGACUUGUGGCUGGGGGUGAAAGGCCAAUCAAACCGGGAGAUAGCUGGUUCUCCCCGAAAGCUAUUUAGGUAGCGCCUCGUGAACUCAUCUUCGGGGGUAGAGCACUGUUUCGGCUAGGGGGUCAUCCCGACUUACCAACCCGAUGCAAACUACGAAUACCGAAGAAUGUUAUCACGGGAGACACACGGCGGGUGCUAACGUCCGUCGUGAAGAGGGAAACAACCCAGACCGCCAGCUAAGGUCCCAAAGUCAUGGUUAAGUGGGAAACGAUGUGGGAAGGCACAGACAGCCAGGAUGUUGGCUUAGAAGCAGCCAUCAUUUAAAGAAAGCGUAAUAGCUCACUGGUCGAGUCGGCCUGCGCGGAAGAUGUAACGGGGCUAAACCAUGCACCGAAGCUGCGGCAGCGACACUAUGUGUUGUUGGGUAGGGGAGCGUUCUGUAAGCCUGCGAAGGUGUGCUGUGAGGCAUGCUGGAGGUAUCAGA
RNAcentral lists this ribosomal RNA (1252 nucleotides) under Klebsiella pneumoniae. RNAcentral's name for it is "bacterial LSU rRNA". It matches the Rfam family "Bacterial large subunit ribosomal RNA", at positions 1 to 1286 of the family's 2925-position model. Lineage: Bacteria; Pseudomonadati; Pseudomonadota; Gammaproteobacteria; Enterobacterales; Enterobacteriaceae. The record is from RNAcentral.